GUGAGUCCCCCACAUCCACAGCACAGCAUCAACCACCAGUGAGUCCCCCACAUCUACAUCCACAGGCACAGCAUCAACCACCAGUGAGUCCCCCACAUCUACAUCCACAGGCACAGCAUCAACCACCAGUGAGUCCCCCACAUCUACAUCCACAGUUGAUUCUACGACCACGACCAAACCCACCACGCCAACUACCACUUCAUCUUCCAGUUCUUUAACCACAAAGAUGAACACCAGUCAGUUUUUCAUGUAUUUAUUUCCUUACUUAUUUGUUCAUUCAUUCAUUCAUUUAGUAUGUGUGUGUUUUGCUGUUUGUUUGUUUGUUUGUUUGUUUGUUUGUUUGUUUGUUUGUUUGUUUGUUUGUUUGUUUGUUUGUUUGUUUGUUUGUUUGUUUGUUUGUUUCUUUGUUUGUUUCUUUGUUUGUUUGGGGAGGGGUAUUUUUUUAUUCAUUCAUUUUUUCUUUUUUUCAUUCAUUCACAUUUUAAUUUGUUCUUGCAUCAAAAUUAAAUAGAUCUUUUACAAUCAAUGUUGUGUUGCUUUAAAAAACUCCAGUCAUGACAUCUGUCUCUCUAUCACAGGUGACAUGACUGAGAAUGGAACCACUAAGGCAAGUCAAAUAUUCUCCUUCUUCUGUUCACUUAUCUAUGAGUGUUUUUCAUUCCUUCAAGCCUCUUCAUCACAUGCCUCUUAAUUCUCUCAAAUACAGAUAUACUGCCCCUCAUUCAACUGUAACUACUCUGACUGCUAUUCAAUGUACAUCAGUCAGAACACCACUCCGUGUGCUGUCGAUAAUUGUUGUCAGUUGUUAAGGCAAACAGACAUGUGGUAUACUGCCAGCUGCAGCAACUCUUGUGCUGACAGCUGCAAGAAUGCCUCCCAGACCAAC
Astatotilapia calliptera (eastern happy) is the source of this 886-nucleotide long non-coding RNA. Lineage: Eukaryota; Metazoa; Chordata; Actinopteri; Cichliformes; Cichlidae. The record is from Ensembl.